Long non-coding RNA from Mus musculus (house mouse), 2307 nucleotides. RefSeq annotates it as predicted gene, 31475. Lineage: Eukaryota; Metazoa; Chordata; Mammalia; Rodentia; Muridae. The transcript has 2 exons. The record is from RefSeq and is a predicted model, not a curated record.
UCCCCAGGCUCUAAGGGAAGGGGACAGUAAGAUUCUAAAAGAGCCUGGGGCUUGAACCUGUUGUAAACUCUGUUAGGAACAGAGCAGAGGUGACCCCUGUAGGUGCUAGAGAAAGGAGACACCAAUGAGGGGUAUCAGGUAAACUCCGGUAGCAGGGAACGUUCCUGCUGAGGACCCAGAAUAGCCAGCCAUCCUGCAUCCCUUUGGGUGUGGAGACCCAGGCCCCUGCUCUUUCCUGGGCAAGGGUGGCUGUAGGUGCUGAACCUAACUUUCCCUGUUAUUCUGCUUUUGAAUGGGACAGGCAUUUUAAGGGCCCAGAAGCACACAGCUAUCUGCCUUGGGUGACCUGAGAGGGGACCAAGGGAUCACAAAUCAGGGCACCAAGAAGUUGCUCUCCUGUCCUGGCUGGCUGGCUGGAGUAGGAGGUGUGACGUAAAGUUCCCAGAAAUAAGCUGAGCUAUGUCAAACAUUUUAGGCCGGUGGACUUGUCAAAACUUAUUCAUUGUGGAGAGGCUGGACUAGUGUGGGUCCAGAGCCAGAAUCAUACACUUUUGUUUUUGUUUGUUUGUUUAUUUGAGACAGGGUUUCUCUGUGUAGCCCUGGCUGUCCUGGAACUCACUCUGUAGACCAGGCUGGCCUCGAAUUUAGAAACUUGCCUGCCUCUGCCUCCCAAGUGCUGGGACUAAAGGCGUGCGCCAUCACGCCCAGCUCCUACGCUAUUCUUAAGGGCUACCAUUACUGUCCCCCACCCCUCUGUGUUACCAAACUUCCUGCAACUAUGAUGUGAAACCCUUUAUGAUACACUAUUAGACGAUUAGCUUCUACAAACCCACAAGCUCAGGAUAUCCCAGACAGCUUCAUCGAGCGAUCCCCGGCUGUGCUGUUGUAACUCACUUACCUGGUACUUCCAUGGAUAUACAUUUUUAAAGUCAUUGACUAGCUUUAAAAAAAAUGUUUAUUUUAUGUGGGUGCCUGUUGUGGUCCAUGCAUGACUGAUGUCUGUGGAGGCCAGAAGAGGGCAUCAGAUCUCUAGGGACUGGAGUUACAGAGAGUUAUGAGCCUCUUGUGGGCACCAAGAAUUGAACCUGGGUCCUCUGGAAGAGCAGCCAGUGCUCUCAACUGCUAAGCCAUCUCUCUAGUCGUUGAUGAACGUAUUUUAAAUGUGUUGAUUCAUGUACUUUCUUUGUUCUGUUACAGUUAAUUCUUCAUAAAACUGUUACCGUGUCGGAACACGGAAUUUGGGGUGACCUAUGUGUUUCAGAAUAGAUUCUUAUCCUCUUGGGGGCGAGCUGUGUGUUUAUUAGGUUGCCAGCCGCUUGCGCUAGAGGCUGCAGUUCUCCUAUUCCCUCUGCUCCCCCCUCAGCUGAUGGAUGGUGAUGCAGACUGAGGAUGUGAUUCAUGAAGCAUUCGAAUGUGCAGAUGGCUUCCCCUAAGUGUUUGGAAGGUGAAAGGAUUAUGAGUCUCAAGAUAGCUGCCAGCGCAAACUGGGACUUCACCUUUGUUCACAUCUGAGAGAGAGAGAGAGAGAGAGAGAGAGAGAGAGAGAGAGAGAGCACACCAGCAGUGGCGACAUAAGAUGCUCUCUCUAGUCAGUCUGAUCAGGUUGGCUUGAGUCACACUGGAUGAUUGGCAUUCUCCGGGGACAUGCUGUGUAAUGAGCUGUGGUGAGUUUAGAGGGGACAAUCAGCCACCCUUUAAGGGGUACAGCCGCCUCUGAGUCACCUGUAUGUGGGUUAAGCAGGUGGGCGGAUGCUGGCUGAGUGUGAGGUUUGUGGGUGAGAGGAUGAGAUUGACAAGAGAAAGAUGCGGCAGGGGACUGGGUGUCGGUGCCCUGUCCCUCUGAUUUUAGCUGCAAUGGUGCCAGAAUGUUCCGCAGCAGCUGACUCACUGCCAGCUCUGAACCCAGGUGCCCUGAGCUCCCACGUCGAUCUCCGCCCACACACAGAGCACAGCAGCGGUGUCGUGUUUACCGUGGGAACAGAACAUGCCAAUCUUCCACCAGCACAGGUUGGCGAUGCUGCAGAUUGUUUGGAUCUUUCUGGACUGUUCUCAGAGAUCAGUGGGAACUGGCCUGUUGCUCUAGUAGGGGUUUCGCAGAUACACCUCUGACACAUUCUUCCUGCUGCUCACUCUGCCACCUGGGCCCCCACAUAGACAGCUUGCAAGGAACCUGGGGCCUCAGCCUUUGCCAGUGUGAAACUGGAACUUCAGCUAAGAGGACUGUGACAAUACCUACCAUAACCUAUCAUUUAUACCCCACCUGGCUUAAAGUUACACAAUAUGAGAUAUGCCGUCUGGAAGCAGCCA